UUUUUUAGCAAAUUAGAAACUUAAGCCCCCGUUUGAUCCCCAUUAAAUUAAAUUACAUUACAUUCUAUUUUUCUCUCUCCUAUUUUCAAUCACACAAUCUUCCAUAAAAUAAUAUUGCAUAUAAAUCGAAAAUUUUUCCUUCUUUUUCAAUCACUUAUUUUUCUAAAAAAUACUAUUCCCCCCAUUUUUAUUUUCAGGUAAUAGGG
This 206-nucleotide long non-coding RNA is filed under the name Olea europaea (common olive). Its description in RNAcentral is "long non-coding RNA (OEUR_LNC004492)". Lineage: Eukaryota; Viridiplantae; Streptophyta; Magnoliopsida; Lamiales; Oleaceae. The record is from RNAcentral.